This 23-nucleotide non-coding RNA is filed under the name Mus musculus (house mouse). The record is from RNAcentral. Lineage: Eukaryota; Metazoa; Chordata; Mammalia; Rodentia; Muridae.
UGGCUGUAAAGAGCGGGUCUGGU